This 1688-nucleotide long non-coding RNA is filed under the name Lactuca sativa (garden lettuce). RNAcentral describes it as "long non-coding RNA (LSAT_LNC002100)". Lineage: Eukaryota; Viridiplantae; Streptophyta; Magnoliopsida; Asterales; Asteraceae. The record is from RNAcentral.
CUAUCACUACUUGCCUCAAAUGACAUCACUCUACCAUCAGCUGUUUUUUUGAUUUCCAGGUUUGUGUGCUUUCCUUUAUUCUGGUUUUCCUUUGAUUUUAUGUAAUAACAAGAUUUUGUUGUGGAUAAAUGAAAUUCGUGGUUCCACAUAUGUAGGUGCAGAUAUUAUGUGUGAAAGGUAUAUGAUAGGCUAUUGAUAACUAUUUUUUGAUGAUCAUGCAUACUAGGUGUUUGAUAAUAUCCUUAAGAAGGCCAUUUUUCUCCUUCUACCUAUUUUCAUCUUCACCACUGCAUAUGGUGUGCUUCACACCAUCCUUCCCCAUUAGCAUGUUCAUCUACUUCAUUGGCAUUUAUAUCUUAUUCAAGCUUCAAAGGGACGAGUAACAAACUGAAGUGCCAAGAUCAAUUGAAGUAUCCAAAUCUGACAUAAGGUAAGCUUAUAUGAUUUCUUUAUUUUCUUCUAUUAGAGACAUCGAAUGAUGUAUUCUAGACUCAAUGAUUAUUUUCACAUUGAUUUUUGAUGGGAUCUGCUUCUUCAUCUCUUUGGGAUGCUCUAUUUCCUAUUCACUCCUCUUGGUUUUUUCCAUUUUCGAUCACUAAGAUGAAAUUUAAUUUUUUUGAACAUGAUGAUGGUAGAUGUUGAUGUACAUACAUGUUGGAGGCUUCCCCUUGAUUUUUUUUAUCCCUAAUUAUUUUGUUACAUGGCCUCGAUUUUGAAAAACUAAAAAAUCUGAUUCAAGAAUUGGCUAAUCUUGCCUCUUUUGUUUGAUAAUUUUUUUGGCAAAGGAGUUUGAUUUAUACUAUCCCCUUAAUUUUAUUAGAGUAUUUUAUUUCCCAUUACUAACACAAUUGUUUGUUUUCUUAUCCUUACUUUCAGAUUAGUUUGAGUAAGACCAAGAAGAAAUAAGUAAAAAAAUGAACUCUAAUUUCAACUGAGUAUACAUGUUAACUUUUUUUGUUUGUCAACUUUUGCUUUUUUGAACUCUAAUUUCAGGUGAAUCAUUUGGAAUUUUUUUAGGUAGUGUGUGGUGUUGUGCGAAAGCAGGAUCUACCCAUAUGUGGCUGAUUGUUGGGUCAAGAGUUGAGAAUAAGCUCUGCCCAUUAAAACAAGUAUGUAUAUUUAUCAGCUGAUCAAAAAUAACUGUGUGAUUCUCCUUUGGUUCACUCUAUUAGUCUCUUAGACGAUAUUGCCCCUAUCCCAGUUUCAUCUGUUAUGGUGAAUUCAACAUCUUCCUUUAAGGUGACCCAACUUAACAACCCUAUAGAGCUCCUAAGAAUUUACCAAUAAUUGAAUAUCAAACCUUAGAGGAGUUGUAUGCUUUUAAUUUAUUUUUCUGUUUUAGCUGUUUUUUCUAUUGUUUGUAUGUUUUCAAACACUUCUACUUUCUUCAGAGCAACUUAGAGCAGCAGGUUGAAAAACUUUUAUGCAUAAAUUUUUUAUGUCAAAGGAAUUGGAGUAAAAAAAAAGAUGUGAUAAUGAUUAACUUUUUAGUUGGAAAAAUGUGAGGGACGGAUAAUGGAGAACCAAAGUCACAUGGUUUCUAUUUAUGAAUUCAAUGCAACUCAUGUCUUUAUUCUGUUAAUUAUUUUUUGAUUAUGAAGAUAAAAUGAUAACUAUGUUUGUUUAUUAUUAUUAUUAUUAUUAUUAUUAUUAUUAUUAUUAUUAUUAUUUUUAUUAUUAUUAUUAUU